This 465-nucleotide ribosomal RNA is filed under the name Vreelandella stevensii. RNAcentral's name for it is "partial 16S ribosomal RNA". It matches the Rfam family "Bacterial small subunit ribosomal RNA", at positions 338 to 795 of the family's 1533-position model. Lineage: Bacteria; Pseudomonadati; Pseudomonadota; Gammaproteobacteria; Oceanospirillales; Halomonadaceae. The record is from RNAcentral.
CCUACGGGAGGCUGCAGUGGGGAAUAUUGGACAAUGGGGGGAACCCUGAUCCAGCCAUGCCGCGUGUGUGAAGAAGGCCCUCGGGUUGUAAAGCACUUUCAGUGAGGAAGAACGCCUGGUGGUUAAUACCCAUCAGGAAAGACAUCACUCACAGAAGAAGCACCGGCUAACUCCGUGCCAGCAGCCGCGGUAAUACGGAGGGUGCGAGCGUUAAUCGGAAUUACUGGGCGUAAAGCGCGCGUAGGUGGCUUGAUAAGCCGGUUGUGAAAGCCCCGGGCUCAACCUGGGAACGGCAUCCGGAACUGUCAAGCUAGAGUGCAGGAGAGGAAGGUAGAAUUCCCGGUGUAGCGGUGAAAUGCGUAGAGAUCGGGAGGAAUACCAGUGGCGAAGGCGGCCUUCUGGACUGACACUGACACUGAGGUGUGAAAGCGUGGGUAGCAAACAGGAUUAGAUACCCGAGUAGUC